GAUGGAUAAAAGGGAAAGAAGAACAGGGACGGUAGCAGCGGCAGCCGCGAGCCACCACGGCGGGGCGCAGCUGAUGGCGAUGACCGCCGGUGCUGCCCGCGCUACGGCGGCCCACGGUGGCUGGCAACAGAGAGAUAGAGACAUAGAGAUAGAGGAGAGAGACAAGGGGGAGGCAGAGCAAACGAGGAAGAAAAGAGGAGUAAGGGCGGCGCCGGCGCUGCUACGCAUCCACGGCUCACGGCGGCCGCCGCGAACAGGGCAUAGAGAGAGAUCGAGAGGGGCAGAGAGAGAGAGACUGAGAGGGAGGAUAUAGAGAGAAGAAGAGAGAUAGGGGACUUACCUGAGGCGGGGAGAACGACGGAGGAGCGGAAAUCCGACGGGCUGGGGCGGCGGCGACGUUAUUCGCCGGGAUUCUCCAGAGGAGUAAAAUUGAUGGGGAAGAUUGAAAACCCUAGGUUUAAUUGAUUUUAGAAUUUGGGAAUUAAAUGUAGGAAGGAGAGGGAAGAAAGCGGAAGGGGAGAAGAUGCGUCAGCCUCGCCGCGCCGGAAGCGACGCGAGCCGGCGACGCUCGCCGGAGAAGGGGGGGAGAGAGAGGCGGCCGAGAGAGGGAGCGAAGAGAGGAAGAGAUGUCUGCGUGGGGAAGAAAUAGAAAACAGAGAGAGAUUAACUUGUUUUAUGUUUUAAAGAAGGUUAUUAAUUUUAAUUUAUUUAAAUCUGAAAUUGGUUAAUUGGGCUCCAACUAGUAAUUGGGUUUAAGCUGGUACUUGGGCCUAUUAAUCUCAAUGGGAUUAGUAAUAAUAAAUUGUGUUGGGCUUUGGGAGUACAUAAGAUGAUAGAAUUAAUUUGUUAAGUUGGGC
This 857-nucleotide long non-coding RNA is filed under the name Salvia miltiorrhiza (redroot sage). RNAcentral's name for it is "long non-coding RNA (SMIL_LNC002517)". The record is from RNAcentral. Lineage: Eukaryota; Viridiplantae; Streptophyta; Magnoliopsida; Lamiales; Lamiaceae.